GCAUGGCUGAAUACUUUUUAUCAGUAUUUUAUAUAGCCAGACACCAUGCAAAAAAAAAGAGAAAAAACAGUCUUCCCUUUAAAGUGGCUAUGUGGUCUGCUAAGUAUUUUCCUAACAGAUCACUAUUAAAGGGAAAUAAAAAC
Molecule: small nucleolar RNA, 143 nt
Organism: Manis javanica (Malayan pangolin)
Lineage: Eukaryota; Metazoa; Chordata; Mammalia; Pholidota; Manidae
Product: small nucleolar RNA SNORA15
Source: RefSeq, a predicted model, not a curated record